RNAcentral lists this long non-coding RNA (314 nucleotides) under Mytilus galloprovincialis (Mediterranean mussel). The record is from RNAcentral. Lineage: Eukaryota; Metazoa; Mollusca; Bivalvia; Mytilida; Mytilidae.
CUGUGUGGCAUAUUUUCAACAUUUAUAUUCCUCAAACUUCAAAAAAUUUAAACCUAUACUAAAAUUAUGUUCUUCCUCUCACUUAACAUUUGGUCUCAGAAUUUAAUUUGGCUGCUAUCCAUGUGAAUUUAUACUGGUAAAGUUCCCAAAAUGAGUCUCUUCGAGAUGAAACAUAGAUAUCAUAUCUGGGAACCAAAGAGGCGUGGUUUGUGAAACAGCUGUAUUUACAAAGUGCAACCUAAAGGAAAUGUCAUAACUUCAUACAAUAUACUAUAUGUACUAUUUUGAUAAAUUUUGAAUAACCUACAUAGCUG